This is a non-coding RNA of Salvelinus sp. IW2-2015, 272 nucleotides long. The record is from RefSeq and is a predicted model, not a curated record. NCBI's taxonomy places the organism in Eukaryota, Metazoa, Chordata, Actinopteri, Salmoniformes, Salmonidae.
ACUCAGGACCCUGUUAGUUACGGUAACUCAGGAUCCUGUUAGUUACGGUAACUCAGAGCAGAUCGUAAGUCAGGACCCUGUUAGUUACGGUAACUCAGAGCAGACCGUAAAUCAGGACCCUGUUAGGUACGGUAACUCAGAGCAGACCGUAAAUCAGGACCCUGUUAGUUACGGUAACUCAGAGCAGACCGUAAAUCAGGACCCUGUUAGUUACGGUAACUCAGAGCAGACCGUAAGUCAGGACCCUGUUAGUUACGGUAACUCAGAGCAGA